GAUGAACGCUGGCGGCGUGCCUAAUACAUGCAAGUCGAGCGAACGGACGCGACUCUUGCUUUUCUGAUGUUAGCGGCGCACGGGUGAGUAACGCGUGGAUCCCCUACCUAUAAUACUGGUAUCUCUUCGGGACACCGGCGCUAAUACCGGAUAAUCUUUUGCACCGCAUGGUUCGAAAGUGAAAGACGGUCUUGCUGUCACUUCUAGAUGGUUCCGCGCUGCAUUAGCUAGUUGGUAAGGUAACGGCCUACCACGGCAACGAGGCAUAUACGACCGGAGAGGGGGGUCGGCCACCCUAGAACGGGGACACGCUCAAGAGUCCUACGAGAGGCAGCAGUCGGGAACCGGCGGCAAUAGGCGAAAGCCUGACGCAGCAACGCCGCGUGAGUGAUGAAGGUCUUCGGAGCGUAAUACUCUGUUAUGAGGGAAGAACAGAUGUGGAAGGAACUGUGGACAUCUUGACGGUAACGAAUAAGAAAGCAACGGCUAACUACGUG
Molecule: ribosomal RNA, 497 nt
Filed under: uncultured bacterium
Lineage: Bacteria
Description: partial 16S ribosomal RNA
Rfam family: Bacterial small subunit ribosomal RNA
Source: RNAcentral